This 679-nucleotide long non-coding RNA is filed under the name Homo sapiens (human). RNAcentral's name for it is "non-protein coding lnc-HSD17B7-2:1". Lineage: Eukaryota; Metazoa; Chordata; Mammalia; Primates; Hominidae. The record is from RNAcentral.
CUCCCGGUGGCAUUGACCUAUCCUUCUGCAGCAGCUGCUGGUGGAAGAUGAUGAGCUUCACCUGUGUUUGCCAUGCAGGAACAUGAGCAAUACAGAAGCUGUCCAUGCAACUCUGCUGGCCUCUCACCAUACGGUCAAGGUCACCACGAUGCAGGUGGAUGGCAACCUGCAGUCAGUGCUCCAGGCCUCUAAGGAACUCAAGUCAGAAAGGUGAUUCAUGUAUUCUCCAUAGCUGAAGAACCGCUGACCCAGAAUGGCAAGAUUACUGCUGAUGGGCUCUAGAAGGUGUUUGAAACCAACGUCUUUGACCACUUUAUAAGAACUACAACCUCUCCUCUGUCAUCUUGAUUAUCUUGGAUACAACCUACAGUGCCUGGAAAUCCCACUGUUAUUAUCAGGCUUGAAAACAUCCAGCACAGCAAAGGCCAGGAGCCAGGCAGCUCUCCCAGAUCACCACUGCCCUGAGUGUGGCUUUGAACAGAGACUUCAACCAGCUGCUCAGGCACAGUGGUGGCCAACCUUACAUAUGAAAUUCUGCCUCCUUUAAUCUGGAUGCUGCUGGUGCCCAUCAUAUUAUUUCCUGGUGAAUUCUUUCACAGCAACACCUUACAAUGGAGCAGAAGUGUUAGUCUCUCAAUCCACUGACCAAGAUGGACCUGGAUAAAGACUCUGCCAAAUG